RNAcentral lists this ribosomal RNA (498 nucleotides) under uncultured bacterium. Its description in RNAcentral is "partial 16S ribosomal RNA". It matches the Rfam family "Bacterial small subunit ribosomal RNA", at positions 28 to 507 of the family's 1533-position model. The record is from RNAcentral.
GACGAACGCUGGCGGCGUGCCUAAUACAUGCAAGUCGAGCGGACGAAUCGAAAGCUUGCUUUUGAUUCGUUAGCGGCGGACGGGUGAGUAACACGUGGGCAACCUGCCCUGUAGACGGGGAUAACACCGAGAAAUCGGUGCUAAUACCGGAUAACACGAAAUGUCGCAUGACGUUUCGUUGAAAGACGGCGCAAGCUGCCGCUACAGGAUGGGCCCGCGGCGCAUUAGCUAGUUGGUGAGGUAACGGCUCACCAAGGCGACGAUACGUAGCCGACCUGAGAGGGUGAUCGGCCACACUGGGACUGAGACACGGCCCAGACUCCUACGGGAGGCAGCACUAGGGAAUCUUCCGCAAUGGACGAAAGUCUGACGGAGCAACGCCGCGUGAGCGAAGAAGGCCUUCGGGUCGUAAAGCUCUGUUGUUAGGGAAGAACAAGUAACGCAGUAACUGGCGUUACCGUGACGGUACCUAACGAGAAAGCCACGGCUAACUACGUG